CCAAUAGCGUAUAUUAAAGUUGUUGCAGUUAAAAAGCUCGUAGUUGAAUUUCGGGGUUCAUCCGUUGGUCGGGCUUUUUUGGUCUGUACUGGCGUGAUGGAUUCCUACCUUCUGAAUAACCAGCAUGUCAUUAAUUUGGUGCGCUGGGGAAGCAGGACUGUUGCCUUGAAAAAAUUAGAGUGCUUAAAGCAGGCUAUCGCCUGAAUACAUUAGCAUGGAAUAAUGAAAUAGGACGGCAUGGUUCUAUUUUGUUGGUUUCUAGGAUCACCGUAAUGAUUAAUAGGGAUAGUUGGGGGCAUUAGUAUUCAAUUGUCAGAGGUGAAAUUCUUGGAUUUAUUGAAGACUAACUUCUGCGAAAGCAUUUGCCAAGGAUGUUUUCAUUAAUCAAGAACGAAAGUUAGGGGAUCGAAGACGAUCAGAUACCGUCGUAGUCUUAACCAUAAACUAUGCCGACUAGGGAUCGGACGAUGUUAAUUUUUUAAUGACUCGUUCGGCGCCUUACG
This 503-nucleotide ribosomal RNA is filed under the name uncultured Glomeromycotina. RNAcentral's name for it is "partial small subunit ribosomal RNA". It matches the Rfam family "Eukaryotic small subunit ribosomal RNA", at positions 591 to 1092 of the family's 1831-position model. Lineage: Eukaryota; Fungi; Glomeromycota. The record is from RNAcentral.